Erythranthe guttata (spotted monkey flower) is the source of this 274-nucleotide non-coding RNA. The record is from RefSeq and is a predicted model, not a curated record. NCBI's taxonomy places the organism in Eukaryota, Viridiplantae, Streptophyta, Magnoliopsida, Lamiales, Phrymaceae.
GGUGAUGACUUCACUGCGACUUAAAAUAGAAGAGAAUGUUUCCUUUUCAACUAUGCACAAAGCUCUGCUAUAUGGUUUUGACGUUUCGUGGUUUUUGCCUUUGAACAAUGAAUGUGUAUACAUUCCAUGGCCAAUUGGUGGACGAUACUAUAGUUUUUGCGGUGACUUCCCAGCUUGGUUGGCCGUUACUCUUCAACGUUAGUAAUUCUUUAACUCUCUUUUGUUGUUCAAAUAAUUCUUCAUUUAUCAUCUAAUUAUUCAAUUCUAAGGUAAA